GUUUUUGCAGGGGGGUGGCCGUAUGGCCUGAGAUGAUACCCUUUGAACCUGAUCUGGUUAAUACCAGCGUAGGGAAUUGCAUAGAGCAGUAUA
This 93-nucleotide non-coding RNA is filed under the name Desulfopila aestuarii. Its description in RNAcentral is "TPP sequence". It matches the Rfam family "TPP riboswitch aptamer (THI element)". Rfam says of the family: Vitamin B(1) in its active form thiamin pyrophosphate (TPP) is an essential coenzyme that is synthesised by coupling of pyrimidine and thiazole moieties in bacteria. The previously detected thiamin-regulatory element, thi box was extended, resulting in a new, highly conserved RNA secondary structure, the THI element, which is widely distributed in eubacteria and also occurs in some archaea. Analysis of operon structures identified a large number of new candidate thiamin-regulated genes, mostly transporters, in various prokaryotic organisms. The record is from RNAcentral. RNAcentral also lists the same sequence under 1 other name. Lineage: Bacteria; Pseudomonadati; Thermodesulfobacteriota; Desulfobulbia; Desulfobulbales; Desulfocapsaceae.